CGCAGCCGCGGUAAUUCCAGCUCCAAUAGCGUAUAUUAAAGUUGUUGCAGUUAAAAAGCUCGUAGUUGAAUUUCGGGGUUAGCAGGUUGGUCGUGCCACUGGUAUGUACUGGCCUCGCUGAUUCCUCCCUCUUGAUGAGCCGUAAUGCCAUUAAUUUGGUGUUGCGGGGAAUCAGGACUGUUACUUUGAAAAAAUUAGAGUGUUUAAAGCAGGCAAGCGCUUGAAUACAUUAGCAUGGAAUAAUGAAAUAGGACGUUCGAUCCUAUUUUGUUGGUUUCUAGGAUUGACGUAAUGAUUAAUAGGGAUAGUUGGGGGCAUUAGUAUUCAAUUGUCAGAGGUGAAAUUCUUGGAUUUAUUGAAGACUAAUUACUGCGAAAGCAUUUGCCAAGGAUGUUUUCAUUAAUCAAGAACGAAAGUUAGGGGAUCGAAGACGAUCAGAUACCGUCGUAGUCUUAACCAUAAACUAUGCCGACUAGGGAUCGGAUGAUGUUAAUUUUUUAAUGUACUCAUUCGGCGUACC
Molecule: ribosomal RNA, 520 nt
Filed under: uncultured Glomus
Lineage: Eukaryota; Fungi; Glomeromycota; Glomeromycetes; Glomerales; Glomeraceae
Description: SSU rRNA
Rfam family: Eukaryotic small subunit ribosomal RNA
Source: RNAcentral